RNAcentral lists this small nuclear RNA (103 nucleotides) under Myotis lucifugus (little brown bat). The record is from RNAcentral. Lineage: Eukaryota; Metazoa; Chordata; Mammalia; Chiroptera; Vespertilionidae.
AUGCUCGCUCUGGCAGCAGAUGCACUAAAACUGAAACACUACAGGGAAGACCCCCGUGGCCCCGGCACAAGGACAGAAAAAUCCUGAAGUGUCCCAAGUCUUU